CACAUCCCCCUUCCAUCCUCUUUCCCCAAUCCAGACUCCUUCCCCCAUCCAGCCUCCUUCCCCCAUCCAGCCGCCAUCCCCACCUUCAGAAUGGGCAGCAGAGGCCCUGGAGGCACUUGAUGGAGGUGAUCAAGUGGCAGAGGAUAAGUUUUACGUCCUGUUGACGCACCUUCCCAGGCCUGUUUUCAAAGUUUCGUCCUGUUGACGACCUGUUACCCCCUGUUUUUUCCUGUUGUUGGGUUGCCGCAAAUAUUGGACCCGUUUAUCCAACUCUACCAUGGGCGACCUACUUGUGAUGUGGACCUGAAACUCCGCCAUGUAGCAGACAACCCCCCUCAGGUCUUGCGGAGUAUCCUUCCCAAGUUGCGUGGAUGUGAAGGGACACGACAGUUCCCCUGAUGUACCAUGGGCGACCUACUUGUGAUGUGGACCUGAACCUCCGCCAUGUAGCAGACAACCCCCCUCAGGUCUUGCGGCGUAUCCUUCCCAAGUGGCGUGGAUGUGAAGAGACACGACAGUUCCCCUGAUGUACCAUGGCAUGGGCGACCUACUUGUGAUGUGGACCUGAACCUCCGACAUGUAGCAGACAACCCCCCUCAGGUCUUGCGGAGUAUCCUUCCCAAGUUGCUUGAAUCAUCAUGGAUGAAAAGGGACAUGACAGUUCUCCUGCUGUACCAUGGGCGACCUAACACAAUACCAUUGCAUCUCAUAUAUUACAUUUUAUUUACUAAUAAUUUAAAGAAAAACCACACAAAACUUCUCAUUUUAAAAAUUUAU
Long non-coding RNA from Pseudophryne corroboree (corroboree frog), 777 nucleotides. RefSeq lists it as uncharacterized. The record is from RefSeq and is a predicted model, not a curated record. NCBI's taxonomy places the organism in Eukaryota, Metazoa, Chordata, Amphibia, Anura, Myobatrachidae. The transcript is spliced from 5 exons.